UACAGAGGGUGCGAGCGUUAAUCGGAAUUACUGGGCGUAAAGGGCGCGUAGGUGGUUUGUUAAGUUAGAUGUGAAAUCCCUGGGCUUAACCUAGGAACUGCAUCUAAUACUGGCGAGCUAGAGUACUGUAGAGGGUAGUGGAAUUUCCGGUGUAGCGGUGAAAUGCGUAGAUAUCGGAAGGAACAUCAGUGGCGAAGGCGGCUACCUGGACAGAUACUGACACUGAGGCGCGAAAGCGUGGGGAUCAAAC
Molecule: ribosomal RNA, 250 nt
Filed under: uncultured bacterium
Lineage: Bacteria
Description: partial 16S ribosomal RNA
Rfam family: Bacterial small subunit ribosomal RNA
Source: RNAcentral